RNAcentral lists this microRNA precursor (130 nucleotides) under Pelobates cultripes (western spadefoot toad). The record is from RNAcentral. Lineage: Eukaryota; Metazoa; Chordata; Amphibia; Anura; Pelobatidae.
UGUGUGUGUGUGUUUGUAUGUGUGUGUUUAUGCAUGUGUGUAUGACAUAUCAUAUGCAUGUAAUAGAAAAUUCAUAGUUGAAAAGACAUACACACAUGCAUAAACACACACACACACACACACACACACA